GGAAGUUGAAGUACGGGCUUGCUAUUUACAUGCGGUGGAGAAAAUGCAAGAGCUAAUAAGUAAAAGUCAAGAAGACAGGUUAGUCUUUUCUUACCAGAAUAUCUUCCCCUCAUGGCCAUUUUCCAAUGCAUGUAGAGUUGGAUUUCUUCUAAGGUUAUUAAGGAAACAAUUGAUUCCAAUAUUACAAUAGAAUACAAGUCAAACACAGUUGAUGAUUUACAUAUGAGGAAGCCAGAUAUUAGCAAAGCGAAGGAACUGCUGAUUUGGGAACACAAAAUCCCACUUAAUGAUGAAAUUGGAUUCUGAAUAAAGAUGAAGGUAAAGGGAUGAAAUUUUCCUUUAGGAAGGAGAUUUAUUCUAAUCUUCCAUUUCAGGCUAUGAAGGAAGUUAAUUAGCUUUUAGAAAUGUUACCUUUAGAAGUUUAAUUGUAUAUUGAUUUACAAUAUGAAAAUCAAAGUUAAUUAGCUUUUAAAAAUGUUACCUUU
This 485-nucleotide small RNA is filed under the name Vigna angularis var. angularis. Its description in RNAcentral is "Non-protein coding transcript". Lineage: Eukaryota; Viridiplantae; Streptophyta; Magnoliopsida; Fabales; Fabaceae. The record is from RNAcentral.